UACGGAGGGUGCAAGCGUUGCUCGGAAUUAUUGGGCGUAAAGGGUAGGUAGGUGGUCUCAUUUGUCUGGGGUGAAAGCCUUGAGCUUAACUCAAGAAGUGCCCCAGAAACGGUGAGACUAGAGUCCUGGAGAGGGUCGUGGAAUUCCCGGUGUAGCGGUGAAAUGCGUAGAUAUCAGGAGGAACACCUGUGGCGAAAGCGGCGCACUGGACCACAACUGACGCUGAGGCGCGAAAGCUAGGGGAGCAAACAGG
This 253-nucleotide ribosomal RNA is filed under the name uncultured bacterium. RNAcentral's name for it is "partial 16S ribosomal RNA". It matches the Rfam family "Bacterial small subunit ribosomal RNA", at positions 524 to 776 of the family's 1533-position model. The record is from RNAcentral.